GUGUGUGUGUGUGUGAGUGUGAGUGAUGCAUCUUUCCAGCGAAGAUCUUGGUGAGGAACCUGGGCAGCCUACACAGGUGGACCUCAUCAGCCCCAUCAGUGGUGGGGAUAAAGGAGCAGCAGAACCUUCACUCAGUGCUGGAUGAUUAACGUGCACCGAUCAGUUUCUGGAUUCACCUACGGGAUCUGUUCCAUUGUUGUCUCCUCUCGUGUGGAUCACCUGCAAGUCUGCCUGCCCGCUGCUCCCUCCGCACCACUCAAUCGCUCCUGGAAGGAUCAAGGAGAACUACUUUUCUGUUAUUGCAAGGAAAUAAAACUCCUUACCUUUA
Molecule: non-coding RNA, 328 nt
Organism: Poecilia reticulata (guppy)
Lineage: Eukaryota; Metazoa; Chordata; Actinopteri; Cyprinodontiformes; Poeciliidae
Source: RefSeq, a predicted model, not a curated record